This is a long non-coding RNA of Bubalus bubalis (water buffalo), 2872 nucleotides long. RefSeq lists it as uncharacterized. The record is from RefSeq and is a predicted model, not a curated record. Lineage: Eukaryota; Metazoa; Chordata; Mammalia; Artiodactyla; Bovidae. The transcript is spliced from 4 exons.
AAUAAAGUAUCCAUGGGCAAAAUAAAGCAAAGAGGGUGGAUGGUGGGGACAGUUGGCAUUUCUACCACUUCUCUCAAUCACACAGAGAUACGUGCUGAUUUCAGCAGCUCCACUUUCUAUCUGUAUGUUGGCUAUUCUCCGUCUUUGUUUUGUAGUGUUUUUCUCACUUCCCCAUCCUUAUUCUUGGUAACCAGAUGUGCUUUUGAGUCAAUUAUUUCUGUUCAAAUUGUUAUAUCUGUCUUAGUCUGCUUAGGCAUGAGAGAAUCAGAGUCAUAUAUUUCUAUACUGUUUACAAUUACAAGACAUUGUCCCAUCUUUUUCUCUACUCAAGAAUAUCUUAUGAGUGAAGCAAGGAAAGCAUUAUUAUUUCUAUUUUUUCAGCUUAUCCCUGAAUCAGAAAAUUUUCUGAAACUGCAGACAUACAAUUUUCAAACGUGCAUUGAGAGGCCACUUUCUCAGCUGUGAUUCCAGGGUGUGGGGAUGGGAAGUUGAAACAAGUUAUUUGCAUACCAGGAGCUUCCAACACGACACAAAGGAAAGAAACAUAAUUCAUCCCUGUGAUACCAGCAGAAGUUACAAAGGCUUAUGUAGACAUUCUGCUAUGAAUUAGUCUUCCCUGGAACUUAUGAAAAACUCAUUCAGUCCUUGUUGAGUUGAAAUGAGAUGUAGCUUCUAUCAGUCAUUGACACCGCUCCCUCAUUUUAAGACAUGCCGGCUUCCCUGGCACACCUUGUCGGCGGAACAGGAUACGUACAUGCUUGUCACAGGCUCUGUCCAGGCCAGUGAGUGCCUCUGCCCCAGGUACAGGGCUGGCUCAUGGACCCGGAUGUAUUCCAUUCAUCCUAUGUGGUGAGUAAUCUUUCAGGCCCUUCUUUCUUUAAAUAACCACAUAGAGAUGAAUUUGGACUAUAUUCUCAUACGUGAUAAAGGAAGGCACUGGGGAAAGGCAUAAAAUAGCUGAAUUUCCUUUCAGUCUUUUUCUGCUAUUUCUUUCUACCAAAAUCAUUUCUGUUCUCACAUUGCUCUUUAAAAUGCUAGUUACACCAUUUCUUUAUUUUUAUAGAGCAUCCUGCAGUGUAUGAAGCUAAUUUAUAUGUUCUUUCACUGAAUAAGAAACUAACACUUUGGUGUGAAUUAGUUUAAGGUUUUAUCCUGACUAGGUGCCGGGUGCAGAGACGGUCAAAAUGAUGAAUAUUUUAUAACAAUAACAAUAGUUAGUUUUUUUUAAGUAUUUACUGUCCAUCAGGUAGAAUCAUAAGUAGGUUACAUGUACUGUCUCAUGUAAUCUUUAAUGCAGGGAGUAACUACCAUCAUUCUUUUUUACACAUGGGAAAAAUGAGACAAAAAGAGAGUGAACGAUGAUCUUAGAAGGAGAGCCUAAGCAUGAAUGCCAGAGCCUGUAUGCUGAGCCCUGGACCACACUGCACCCCUCAGUAAAGCUUCAGACAGCCAGUAUUUGUGUGAGGGCAAUGGUAUUGUGCAAAGGAAUGACCAGACCCCAAGCACACCAUGUGGGUGACUGCUUAAUUCUAACACUAAUCCUAUGGGUGACAUUCAGAUCUAGAGCAGAUUCAGGGAAUAGGGCUGAUUUACUGAGAGGUGUUCAUUGUAAUCUACCUAAAACCAACAAGGGACAGAGAAUAUAAUAUCUUACAAUCACUUCAAGAUAAGUUAACCAGCUAAUAAAAACAUGCAGUUAUUAAGAUCAAUUAUGUCUACAGAGAUCAGAAAAUGGUAAAGGGACCUAAAAUAGUUUUGACUUCUGAAAUCAUCAGACUGUAAAGUUUCCCUCCUACAAAGUGAUUUUGAUAUUAGCAAAGUCCAUUAGGUGGGAAAGAGUUUUGUUGUUAUCCUUAUAGCUUAUUCUAAUACAAUUAGAUCCUUAAUAAUAGUUUUUAAAAAAGGAACUAGUGUCUCAGACACAGGCAGCUGCAAACUAGCUAAUUGGUUCUGGGUCAGUGGGUCUUUUUCCACUUGUUUACUGUUAGUGUUUCUUUGGGAGGAAAUGCAUUGCAACACCCCGCUGAUCUAUUGUCUUCCUACAUAUUGUUAAUUCAAGGACUUUGGCAUUCAGGGAGGAAAUUAUGGCCCAUCACGGUACAUAGAAUAUUCUACUUUCCAGAGAAAGGUCAGGAGAAAAAGAAAAGAGAGAAGAUAAAUAUAAAACCUUUAAAUUAAGACUAAAUCCCAAAGUUAUUCCUUGGUUUGUAUAACCAUCAGUCAAUAAUAAUCAAUUGCAAUUAGUCAGAAAAGAACUAAACCUUAGAAUUGCUGAACAGAUGGAAUAAAAAGGAAAAAUGAAGCCACCUUCCAUCAUCAGACAGACAAAACCACAUGACCAUUUUCCUGUCAUUGAUUUUGCUCCUCAUUAAGAUGUGUUCAUUUACUUUCAUUUUGAAGCUCCUAGUUAAAAUCUUGAAACUAGAACUGUCUUCCAUGAAGGAUUUUGCUCAUUACUCUUCUUAUACAGACGUGAAUUCCAGACGGCUUGGGGAAAUAAUUGUUUAUGCUUUAAUUAUCCAUCUCCAAAUAACAAAUAACCCAGAGACCUCUUUUGCGCUCAUUCUAGUAUUUGGUAUUCUAAGUACUUCAGCAAAUAUGUACUCUGAUGACGGUACGGAGUGUAAGUUUAACACAUAAUUCUUGCCUUCUCGUAUGUUAAAAUCAGAAGUUGAAGCCAACACACAAGAUAAGUAACAAACUUUGUUGGGUAUGAGUAGCCAAGAGAGUUCAGUCAAGAAAUAGAACUUGGUUGUAUUUAUAAUACAGAUAAACUUUGAUAGAGAAAAAAAGCACAGGUAUUCCAAUGAAGAAAAUAGAAGAACACUGAAGCAGACUUUUUGUCUUUUUAUACUGUCAUAGGGUUCUUGUG